This is a long non-coding RNA of Passer domesticus (house sparrow), 1542 nucleotides long. RefSeq lists it as uncharacterized. The transcript has 4 exons. The record is from RefSeq and is a predicted model, not a curated record. Lineage: Eukaryota; Metazoa; Chordata; Aves; Passeriformes; Passeridae.
UCCUUCCGCCACUUCCUUCCGCCACUUCCUUCCUUCCGCCACUUCCUUCCUUCCGCCACUUCCUUCCUUCCGCCACUUCCUUCCUUCCGCCACUUCCUUCCGCCACUUCCUUCCGCCACUUCCUUCCGCCACUUCCUUCCUUCCGCCACUUCCUUCCUUCCGCCACUUCCUUCCUUCCGCCACUUCCUUCCUUCCGCCACUUCCUUCCUUCCGCCACUUCCUUCCUUCCGCCACUUCCUUCCUUCCUUCCGCCACUUCCUUCCUUCCUUCCGCCACUUCCUUCCUUCCUUCCUUCCGCCACUUCCUUCCUUCCUUCCUUCCUUCCUUCCGCCACUUCCUUCCUUCCUUCCUUCCUUCCUUCCUUCCUUCCGCCACUUCCUUCCGCCACUUCCUUCCUUCCGCCACUUCCUUCCGCCACUUCCUUCCUUCCGCCACUUCCUUCCUUCCGCCACUUCCUUCUGCCACUUCCUUCCUUCCUUCCGCCACUUCCUUCCGCCACUUCCUUCCGCCACUUCCUUCCGCCACUUCCUUCCUUCCGCCACUUCCUUCCGCCACUUCCUUCCGCCACUUCCUUCCUUUACAGAUAGAUCUCUGUAGCUGACAGAUUUGCCCAGGGAAACUCUCAGACACUGUCACAUGCCACAGAUAUUUGCUGGAGAUAUCAUACCACAGCAAGAGCAUGUUUCUUGCUUAAUGUGUGCAGCAGGUUUCUUGCUUGUCUUUUCCCAUUCUUUUCAUGAAUUUUGGAUUCCUAAAGCUUGACUGUCCCCAUGACAGUGUAGAGGCUGGAGAGACAUUCAUCUCAUUAUGUGUUUGCACAGCUUGACACUUGAAUAGUGUUUGUGUUGUCAACACCUCAGGGACACAUCCUCUAAGUGCUUGUGUCCUGUGCAUGGCAGGGGAUCCUUGAAGCAGCCAUCAGAAUAUGUCAAAAUAAAGUGCUACUGAAAAGAAAAAAGUGAUGCAGUGCUGCAGGUGAGAGGAGAAGGUAGCAGGUCAAGCACAUGAGUUCAGACCCUGGAUAGAGGUAGUCCUGUUUGUGUGUCUGGAAGCAGGAGAAUUUUCAAGGCAGGAGCUGCUGGCUGUCCUGCACCAGCAAAGACCCACAACAGAAGCUACCUUCCAAAGAGUUGAGAGUGCAUGAGCUACAUGCUAUGCAGCAAUCUGUGGCAGAGUACAACCCCAUCUGAUGUACAUAUCAUAUCAGCACUCUGAAAGAUUGGCAGGCAGGCCAGGCUGAGCAGCAGUUUCAGCCCAAGGUCCCAGCUGCCCACACCUGACAGUAAUGGAAGGAACCUCCAGAGGCACCAGGCACCGACCCCCUUGGGAGUGCGUGGGUUUAGGCCAGCAGGGAGCCACUGGAGGACCAGUACAGCUGAAGGUACCAAGGCUGUCACAGGGGACAGCACCACUGAAGGCAUGGUGCUGCUGUGGGUGGUGAUGAUGACACUGAAAGUGUGAAGGCUGUGGGGGCUGAGAGGAAGUAGUGAAACUGAGGGGUCUGGGGGAGCCGAUGGUGAUGGCAAGGACUGGGGGGACAGA